CAACCGAGUCGGGUAGCUUGGGAAUGCUGCUCUAAUUGGUGGUAAAUCUCAUCAAAGGCUAAAUAGUGGUGGGAGACCGAUAGCGAACAAGUACCGUGAGGGAAAGAUGGAAAGAACUUUGAAAAGAGAGUGAAAAGCACUUGAAACCGUCACGGGGGAAGCGGAUUGCGUGAGUGAUGGUGUCGCUUGUUCAGCGCUUUAUUGCGUGCAUUCUGGCGGCGCCGUGCCGGCGUGGCUGGCUGGACUGUGAUUUUGACAGUCUCGGCUGGUGAGGGCUCCCUCGUAUGAGGUGAGGACGCGGGCAAAAUGACGCAAUACGACCCGUCUUGAAACACGGACCAAGGAGUCUAGCACGGCUGCGAGUCGAAGAGUGAUUAAACUCAAGGGCGCAGUGAAAGCGAAAUUAUAAGCAAAUUGGGGAGGCGUUGCGUUUUUAACAAAAUGUCCUACCUCGAGCAUUUGUGCUGGGACCCGAAAGAUGGUGAACUAUGCCGGAGUAGGGCAAAGCCAGAGGAAACUCUGGUGGAGGCUCGUAGCGAUGCUGACGUGCAAAUCGCUCGUCGAACUUGGGUAUAGGGGCGAAAGACUAAUCGAACCAUCUAGUAGCUGGUUCCCUCCGAAGUUUCUCUCAGGAUAGCGGGCCGACACGCGUUUGUUGUUUUGUGCGGUAAAGCGAAUGAUUAGUGCAUUUGGGGUACGAAGUACUUCGGGCGAUUCUCAAACUUUAAAUGCGCAAGGGGGUGGCUGCUUAAUUGAGCCUACUCUUUGAAAAACGUCGGCCCUGUGGGCCACUUUUGGUAAGCAG
Molecule: ribosomal RNA, 805 nt
Filed under: Palmaria palmata (dulse)
Lineage: Eukaryota; Rhodophyta; Florideophyceae; Palmariales; Palmariaceae
Description: eukaryotic LSU rRNA
Rfam family: Eukaryotic large subunit ribosomal RNA
Source: RNAcentral